ACGGGUGAGUAAUACAUCGGAACGUGCCCGAUCGUGGGGGAUAACGGAGCGAAAGCUUUGCUAAUACCGCAUACGAUCUACGGAUGAAAGCAGGGGACCGCAAGGCCUUGCGCGGACGGAGCGGCCGAUGGCAGAUUAGGUAGUUGGUGGGAUAAAAGCUUACCAAGCCGACGAUCUGUAGCUGGUCUGAGAGGACGACCAGCCACACUGGGACUGAGACACGGCCCAGACUCCUACGGGAGGCAGCAGUGGGGAAUUUUGGACAAUGGGCGAAAGCCUGAUCCAGCCAUGCCGCGUGCAGGAUGAAGGCCUUCGGGUUGUAAACUGCUUUUGUACGGAACGAAAAGACUCCUUCUAAUAAAGGGGGUCCAUGACGGUACCGUAAGAAUAAGCACCGGCUAACUACGUGCCAGCAGCCGCGGUAAUACGUAGGGUGCAAGCGUUAAUCGGAAUUACUGGGCGUAAAGCGUGCGCAGGCGGUUAUGUAAGACAGAUGUGAAAUCCCCGGGCUCAACCUGGGAACUGCAUUUGUGACUGCAUAGCUAGAGUACGGUAGAGGGGGAUGGAAUUCCGCGUGUAGCAGUGAAAUG
Molecule: ribosomal RNA, 590 nt
Filed under: uncultured Acidovorax sp.
Lineage: Bacteria; Pseudomonadati; Pseudomonadota; Betaproteobacteria; Burkholderiales; Comamonadaceae
Description: bacterial SSU rRNA
Rfam family: Bacterial small subunit ribosomal RNA
Source: RNAcentral